Molecule: long non-coding RNA, 488 nt
Filed under: Vigna radiata
Lineage: Eukaryota; Viridiplantae; Streptophyta; Magnoliopsida; Fabales; Fabaceae
Description: long non-coding RNA (VRAD_LNC003413)
Source: RNAcentral
UUAAUAAAAUGGUCAUCAACAUAUUUUACCAAUGGAUUGGAAAAUCCAUUGGUAAUUAACGAUGACUACAAAUCUGUCCAAAAUUCCAACAUAUUCUCCUAUUCGUAAAAAUCAUCAAUAAAUAUUGCAAUUUGAUUUUUUUUUUUCUUCCUCCCCAUCCUCUUCCUUCUUCCCUUUUUUUCUUCUUCUUCUUCUUCUUCUUCUUCUUCUUUUUCUUCUUCUUCUUCUUCUUCUUCCUUUUUCUUCUUUUUCUUCCUCCUCUCCUACUUUCUUCCUCACCUUACUAGUUGUCUACCAUUAUUGUCAUUGCAUCUGUCAUCGCUACUUUCACCACCUCCUUUAUCUCCUCCUCUUAUUUUUUUUUUCUUCUUCCUCAUCCUCUUCCUCCUCCUUCAACUCUGGCCACCUCAAUCAUCACGCUAUCAUUGUCGUCUCCAUUAGCUCCGACUUCUCAUCCUCCUCUUUUCUUCUUUCUCCUUUUUUUCUUC